GCGCACCAGGCGAGAAACCUCCGCAAUGCGGGAAACCGCGACGGGGAGACCCCGAGUGCCGUGGCAACGCCACGGCUUUUCCGGAGUGUAAAAGCUCCGGGAAUAAGGGCUGGGCAAGGCCGGUGGCAGCCGCCGCGGUAAUACCGGCGGCCCGAGUGGUGGCCGCUAUUAUUGGGCCUAAAGCGUCCGUAGCCGGGCCCGUAAGUCCCUGGCGGAAACCCCACGGCUCAACCGUGGGGCUUGCUGGGGAUACUGCGGGUCUUGGGACCGGGAGAGGCGGGGGGUACCCCUGGGGUAGGGGUGGAAAUCCUAUAAUCCCAGGGGGACCGCCAGUGGCGAAGGCGCCCCGCUGGAACGGGUCCGACGGUGAGGGACGAAGGCCAGGGGAGCAAACCGGAUUA
This 401-nucleotide ribosomal RNA is filed under the name uncultured microorganism. Its description in RNAcentral is "bacterial SSU rRNA". It matches the Rfam family "Archaeal small subunit ribosomal RNA", at positions 330 to 731 of the family's 1478-position model. The record is from RNAcentral.